RNAcentral lists this long non-coding RNA (362 nucleotides) under Junco hyemalis (dark-eyed junco). Its description in RNAcentral is "lncRNA (ENSJHYG00000017232.1)". The record is from RNAcentral. Lineage: Eukaryota; Metazoa; Chordata; Aves; Passeriformes; Passerellidae.
AGCAACUUGUAGUAUCAAGUUGUUAAAAUGUUUCAUGUUUUGGUUAUUUUCGCUAUCUUGCAUACGUGUUGUAGGUUCUCCUACUGCAGAGCAACAAGCUGCUACACGUCUCUUGCAACUGUGGGAACAGCGGAAUUUACAAUACCUUGGACUGCUGCUGAGCACAGUGGAGCCGUCUCUAAGUGUUACCUCCAAAAGGCUUGUGGCACUCAAACGUGCAGUGCCAUGUGUCCCCAAGGAUCAUCACUUCAGCCAUAUGCAGUGAGACUGCUACAGGGACAGCCGUACUGCAGCAUGGCCUUGCCUCCUGCUUCAGGCCAUCUGUGAGAGAUGGCAGAGGUGGGUUUGUGUUUGCUUGGGAU